This 428-nucleotide ribosomal RNA is filed under the name uncultured Acinetobacter sp. RNAcentral's name for it is "bacterial SSU rRNA". It matches the Rfam family "Bacterial small subunit ribosomal RNA", at positions 353 to 772 of the family's 1533-position model. Lineage: Bacteria; Pseudomonadati; Pseudomonadota; Gammaproteobacteria; Moraxellales; Moraxellaceae. The record is from RNAcentral.
AGUGGGGAAUAUUGGACAAUGGGGGGAACCCUGAUCCAGCCAUGCCGCGUGUGUGAAGAAGGCCUUUUGGUUGUAAAGCACUUUAAGCGAGGAGGAGGCGCUCUAGGAUAAUACCCUAGAUGCGUGGACGUUACUCGCAGAAUAAGCACCGGCUAACUCUGUGCCAGCAGCCGCGGUAAUACAGAGGGUGCGAGCGUUAAUCGGAUUUACUGGGCGUAAAGCGCGCGUAGGUGGCUAAUUAAGUCAAAUGUGAAAUCCCCGAGCUUAACUUGGGAAUUGCAUUCGAUACUGGUUAGCUAGAGUAUGGGAGAGGAUGGUAGAAUUCCAGGUGUAGCGGUGAAAUGCGUAGAGAUCUGGAGGAAUACCGAUGGCGAAGGCAGCCAUCUGGCCUAAUACUGACACUGAGGUGCGAAAGCAUGGGGAGCAAA